UCGGGUCCAUCCCGAGGCCACGCCCGUCUGAGGGUCGGCU
RNAcentral lists this ribosomal RNA (40 nucleotides) under Bostryx solutus. Its description in RNAcentral is "partial 5.8S ribosomal RNA". Lineage: Eukaryota; Metazoa; Mollusca; Gastropoda; Stylommatophora; Orthalicidae. The record is from RNAcentral.